GUCGAAACGGGUGGACUGGCAUGCCGGUUCACCUGCCUUAGGAUGGGGCUGCGUCCGAUCAGGUAGUUGGUGGGGUAAUGGCCCACCAAGCCUAUGACCGGUGCGGGCUCUGAGAGGAGGAGCCCGGAGAUGGACCCUGAGACAAGGGUCCAGGCCCUACGGGGCGCAGCAGGCGCGAAACCUUCGCAAUGCCCGAAAGGGUGACGAGGCUACCCCGAGUGCCGUCCGCUAAGGACGGCUUUUGUCGGGUCUAAAAAGCCCGACGAAUAAGGGGAGGGCAAGUCUGGUGUCAGCCGCCGCGGUAAUACCAGCUCCCCGACUGGUCGGGACGAUUAUUGGGUCUAAAGCGUCCGUAGCCGGCCCUGUAUGUGAUCCGUUAAAUCCAGCGGCUCAACCGCUGGGCUGCGGAUCAUACUAUGGGGCUAGGGGACGGGAGAGGCCGGGGGUACUCCGCGGGUAGGGGUAAAAUCCGCUGAUCCGCGGAAGACCAACAGUGGCGAAGGCGUCCGGCCAGAACGCGCCCGACGGUGAGGGACGAAAGCCAGGGGAGCGAACCGGAUUAGAUACCCGGGUAGUCCUGGCCGUAAACGAUGCCCGCUAGGUCUUGGUGAAGCUUAGGGUUUCACCAGGGCCGCAGGGAAGCCGUUAAGCGGGCCACCUGGGGAGUACGGCCGCAAGGCUGAAACUUAAAGGAAUUGGCGGGGGAGCACCACAAGGGGUGAAGCCUGCGGU
Molecule: ribosomal RNA, 732 nt
Filed under: uncultured Nitrososphaerota archaeon
Lineage: Archaea; Thermoproteati; Nitrososphaerota
Description: bacterial SSU rRNA
Rfam family: Archaeal small subunit ribosomal RNA
Source: RNAcentral